ACAACAUUCCUCAUUGUCUACU
Molecule: small nuclear RNA, 22 nt
Filed under: Arabidopsis thaliana (thale cress)
Lineage: Eukaryota; Viridiplantae; Streptophyta; Magnoliopsida; Brassicales; Brassicaceae
Description: snRNA_00922
Source: RNAcentral